AAACGAUUACGAUACAACUACGUAACAGAACAAUCCGUUGGGUGCGGUGUCACUUUCGCGCAUUCGAUAACGAAUGGAAUCUCUCAAACUAUAAUGACGUCAUUGAAGAGGCAGACGAAUGUUGUUCAAAGAAGCAAGAUGGUGGAUGGAGAUUUUUCCGAUCUGUUAGUUUUCAGGAGUCGUCGUAGCUGUUGUACGCGGAUCAAUAAAUCGUCUGAUUGGCUGUUACUUCACCAGUUUAGUCAGUGUUUAGCUAGCUAUGAACAGAGACGGAUAAAUCCAUUGUCAGUAAAGUAGUCUCUUGUGGCAGAUCGACCUACAUUAGAUAUAUACGAGAGCUUAUUAAAUAGAAAGGGAAAUUUUCUCAAUUUUGUGGAAGUUUCUGAAUGGAACUGACAAAAUGAAGAAUCUGGGUCAAUAAUGAGUUUCUGUUGUCUGCUCAGAUGGGUUAGUUCCUGUAUUGGCGGAGUACAAAAUAAGAGUCUAGAAAAACUGUGCUCAGCUGCAGCUUUAGUUACAGUGCCUGAGGCAGUUGCCUGAUCACCUCACCUAUGGAGCCGGUCUUGAAUACGACUGACUCACAUGCUAGAACUUGUAUGAGUCAAAAUGAGUCGUGACAUCGUGUGCUACCCUUGUUUACCUCUCUCGAGACAAUGCCAUGCAUAAGCGUCAGUAUGUCAGUUUGCUAUCAUUCAGUGAACAAUGUGCACUAUAACUCUGAAUUUUCAUACAAUUUUGUGUUUUUCCACAUAAAUUUUUAAUAAAUUCAUUAAUCACGAGUUCUAAGAAAAUGAAUGAAAAGAGCCAAGCAACAAAGAAAAUGGUUAGGAUCACCAUGGAGGUGAAAAAAAGAGAUUGUUGAAAAGUAUGAAAGUGGCAUGCAUAUCUGGGACUUAGCUGUUGCAUAUC
RNAcentral lists this long non-coding RNA (909 nucleotides) under Androctonus crassicauda. Lineage: Eukaryota; Metazoa; Arthropoda; Arachnida; Scorpiones; Buthidae. The record is from RNAcentral.